AGAGAUGAUCGUGACUUGCAUGAUGAAUCUGCCAUUUCUUUCGAACGAGAAGCUUGUCGUUAUGGUUCUUAUAAGUUAUCAUCUUAUUGUAAUGAAAGAACAAGACAAAAAGAAAAUAGAAGAAAAGAAAAACAAGAGAUGUUGAUGCAACAAAAUGAACGAAUCUUGAAUGAAAUUGAGAGAAGAAAAAAAGAAAUGAGAGAAAAAUAAAAAGAUGAAAAUGAGAUUCCAAAAACAAAAGAGAGUGAAAAGCAAAAAGAGAUUGAAAAAGAAAUUGAAAAAGAAGAAAAAGAAAGAGUGGA
Molecule: long non-coding RNA, 302 nt
Filed under: Gossypium raimondii (Peruvian cotton)
Lineage: Eukaryota; Viridiplantae; Streptophyta; Magnoliopsida; Malvales; Malvaceae
Description: long non-coding RNA (GRAI_LNC004651)
Source: RNAcentral